CCUACGGGCGGCAGCAGUGGGGAAUAUUGGGCAAUGGGCGCAAGCCUGACCCAGCAACGCCGCGUGAAGGAAGAAGGCUUUCGGGUUGUAAACUUCUUUUCUCAGGGACGAAGAAAGUGACGGUACCUGAGGAAUAAGCCACGGCUAACUACGUGCCAGCAGCCGCGGUAAUACGUAGGUGGCAAGCGUUAUCCGGAUUUACUGGGUGUAAAGGGCGUGUAGGCGGGACUGCAAGUCAGAUGUGAAAACUACGGGCUCAACCCGUGGCCUGCAUUUGAAACUGUAGUUCUUGAGUACUGGAGAGGCAGACGGAAUUCCGAGUGUAGCGGUGAAAUGCGUAGAUAUUAGGAGGAACACCAGUGGCGAAGGCGGACUGCUGGACAGCAACUGACGCUGAGACGCGAAAGCGUGGGGAGCAAACAGGAUUAGAUACCCGGGUAGUC
Molecule: ribosomal RNA, 443 nt
Filed under: uncultured bacterium
Lineage: Bacteria
Description: partial 16S ribosomal RNA
Rfam family: Bacterial small subunit ribosomal RNA
Source: RNAcentral